Eriocheir sinensis (Chinese mitten crab) is the source of this 1439-nucleotide long non-coding RNA. RefSeq lists it as uncharacterized. The record is from RefSeq and is a predicted model, not a curated record. The transcript is spliced from 6 exons. Lineage: Eukaryota; Metazoa; Arthropoda; Malacostraca; Decapoda; Varunidae.
GACUCAUAGGGUUUGGCGUGAGUCCCCCUAUAGCCUGGUGGCCUCCAACAACCUGCUGGUGGCCUGACCGUCCUGGCCCUCCCUGGCCAGCCGUCCACCACCACCUUCACCCGGCAGCCGCUGCAGCGGAACAAUGGGAGGAUCACAGGCUACGUGAUAUUCCUCACCACGGACCAAACUGUCGGUGACUGGGUGAUGGGGGAAGUGACGGGGGACUGGCUCACCCUCACCGUCCAUGGACUGACGCCUUCAAGGAAGUAUUUACACAAGAUGCACUCUCACAAUGUCAAAGGUUUUGGUCCAUUCUCCUCCGUGGAAAGCUUCACGACUCUUCCAGCUGUUGACAAGAGCAUCGGUGAGCCCCCUGGCUGGUGUGUGGAGCGAGAGGCCUGAUUGUGCUGGUGAUCGCUGGCGUGGCAGGAGCCAUGACCAGCUGGGGGCCUUCUUGGCCACCACACUGUACUGCCGCGGGUCAAGGCGGAGCCCAGGCCAAGCAUUGUUGUUGGCGGCAGCUGCAGUGAGAGCAACAAGCCUGGCGUCCAGCCUCCAGACCUGUGGAUCCAUCACGGCCACUUGGAGCUGAAGAACUUUGACAAGGGUGAGCGCAGCAACUCCCCCAACCACGCCUCCAUCAUCCAGCACACAGCUGAAGAUCAACAACAAGGAGAUGACGGCGCUAGACCAGAUGCUUGGGGCACUCCUGGAGGCUCUGCAGGACAAGGCCAAGGAAACAAAGAGUGGCCAGGCUCUGGGACCGAGGCACAGAGAGCCAAGACGGCCGAGGGUUUAUCAAGACUGACAACAACGUGACGGUCAAAGUGUUAGAGGUAAGAAUCUUACGUGAUGAAACAUUGUGGAAGCCUUGCCAGAGUAUAUGGUCCCACAACAUGUCCUGUAGCUUCUGAAUGAGUGCCUUCAAGCUCUGGUGCUGCUUCCCUUCCUUUGUUAUGAGUGUUUCCAUACUUACUGCUCAAGAUCUUCAACACAAGCUCAUCCCGGUGGCCUCCAACUCUCUAAUUCAAGAGUUGUAGUGUAUCUAAUUCUUCCAUUUCUUGAACAACUUGAUUUCUGGUAUUCUAGCACUUAAGUACUGUUACUAAAAGACCUCUUGAACUAUUAAAGUUGAUACCCUCUUGGCAUCUCCUAGUCUGAAAACUCACAGUCCUUUCUUCCUUCCCACGAGUUAAACUUCUUCAGAAUGGGAGUGCCAAAAGUCUUCCAGUCUCCCCUGUGGUACAUUCCCUCCUCCCAGUCUUCAUCACAGUCCUUUCCUCCUUCCCAUGACUUAAACUUCUUCAGAAUGGGAGUGCCAAAAGUCUUCCAGUCUCCCCUGUGGUACAUUAUCUCCUCCCAGUCUUCAUCACAGUCCUUUCCUCCUUCCCAUGACUUAAACUUCUUCAGAAUGGGAGUGCCAAAAGUCUUCCAGUCUCCCCUGUGGU